GCCAGAGUGGCGGAAUUGGCAGACGCGCGGGACUCAAAAUCCCGUGGCCCUCGGGUCGUGUGGGUUCGACUCCCACCUCUGGCA
This 84-nucleotide transfer RNA is filed under the name Candidatus Acetothermia bacterium. Its description in RNAcentral is "tRNA-Leu". It matches the Rfam family "tRNA". Rfam says of the family: Transfer RNA (tRNA) molecules are approximately 80 nucleotides in length. Their secondary structure includes four short double-helical elements and three loops (D, anti-codon, and T loops). The record is from RNAcentral. RNAcentral also lists the same sequence under 2 other names. Lineage: Bacteria; Candidatus Bipolaricaulota.